This 85-nucleotide transfer RNA is filed under the name Felis catus (domestic cat). It matches the Rfam family "tRNA". Rfam says of the family: Transfer RNA (tRNA) molecules are approximately 80 nucleotides in length. Their secondary structure includes four short double-helical elements and three loops (D, anti-codon, and T loops). Lineage: Eukaryota; Metazoa; Chordata; Mammalia; Carnivora; Felidae. RNAcentral also lists the same sequence under 3 other names. The record is from Rfam by way of RNAcentral.
GCCUGGGUGGCUCAGUCGGUUAAGCGUCUGACUUCGGCUCAGGUCAUGAUCUCACAGUUUGUGAGUUCGAGCCCCACAUCGGGCU